CCUCAUGAACCCGUUCAGGACGAUGAGAAUAAUGGAGAGAAACAUAAACCUCAGAAGGAACAAUUUGGGGUGCAAAGCUUGAAGAUGUUAAAUGUGAGGGCUGCCCUUGAG
Molecule: long non-coding RNA, 111 nt
Organism: Eucalyptus grandis
Lineage: Eukaryota; Viridiplantae; Streptophyta; Magnoliopsida; Myrtales; Myrtaceae
Exons: 2
Source: RefSeq, a predicted model, not a curated record